This 363-nucleotide long non-coding RNA is filed under the name Mus spicilegus (steppe mouse). RNAcentral's name for it is "lncRNA (ENSMSIG00000028732.1)". Lineage: Eukaryota; Metazoa; Chordata; Mammalia; Rodentia; Muridae. The record is from RNAcentral.
CUUCCCCCCUCCCCACCCCCUGUGUGUGUGUGUGUGUGUGUGUGUGUGUGCGCACAUGCAUUUCAGAUCCAAAGUUGGACCUAAAUUCCUGCUUCCUGGACGCCCAAGUCUACUGAUUUUUCUAAACUAGCUUUCUAACUCAUCAUAUGAAUGUAGACAUGGAUUUUACUGGCAGAAAAGGAGAUCCUGGUUUGUUUGGAGGAGCAGUGGCUCCUGUCCGCUUGAGAAAGUAACUCUAAUCCUAGAGGAGUAUAUCACAGAUGAUAAAUAGUGUGAGGAUUAGAGAACCCAGGCACGUGUCUCAUAAGUGCAAAGUGGGACACUCUCAUUCUGAAGGUGUUGAAUACUCAUAAGGUACCAGGC